CUGUGUGUGGGACUACAUUUCCAAUGCUGGGUGCUGAGGCAAGAAGGCUGUGAUGCCUGCAGCCUGAGAAUCCCUCAGGGAUGGUUCAGACAGAAAUGGGGAUAUAACAGUGGGACCUACUUACGUGUGAUGAAGCCAACUCCAGGAACAUAAUCAGCCAACAAGCGCAAAAGGAGGAGGAUCCUGCCCCUAGAAAUGGAGAGAAAAUAAACAAGUUCAGCUGGACAUCUUCUGCCCCAGCUGUUGAACACACAAACAGCAAUGACAGCUGUUAUACAAAGGCUUAGAAUAACCUGGUCACAGGCACCCACACAUCUUCAGAUCUACACACCCAGUCUACUGACGCUAUUUCAGUUAAAAGGGAAAUUUUUAGCAAAAGCCCAGCAAGGGCACCUUACUCUGAGUAUCGGUCAUAGAAAGGAGAUCUCAGCAGGUAGUACAGCAGCAGGAUGGUUCGUCGCCUCAGCUCUGCCCGUUCUCGCCUGUUCAGGUCUUUCAGAUCACUCAGCAAACUCAGACUGGAAGGAGGAGGGCAAAGAGCUAAGUCAGAGCAAAAGCAGUCAGCAGGGAAAAGAAAGCAGGUUUCUAAAGCCCUCCGCUCUCAGCUCCACGCAGAGCAGCAUGCAACAGCUCAGAAGAGAGAGCACUGUAAGUGUUGUAGAAGAUGUGUCAAUCUCCAAGCUAAAGACCAUUCUGGGUGCAUAUUUCUCUCAGUAGGGCCUGCCCAGGACUGGGGAAUGGGGAAGCGUGAUUCCCAGCCACCACCAAAUCAAGCACCAGAAAGGCUCUUCAGACUGACCUCGAGAUGUCCAGGACUGCCGAGAGGAGCCAGGGCUUCCACGAUCUCUGACCCCAUACUCCUAAACUCAGAACUAGGAACACACAGUCAAGGAAUGAAAAAAUGAGAGAUUCCUAACAAGAGGCACACAGAGAAGUGACCCCCUGCGUACCCACAAAGUUCUGCCAAGCACAGGCGAAUACACCCUAAGGCAGGGCUGGGAGCCCCGGGGAAAGGGGCUGGAGGACUUGCACGCACAGCUCUAGUGGCUGCGGCCAGCCCCAAAGUGUUAGAAGGGGAAGAGGCCCGAGUCCCGUGCCCGAGCAGAGCCGCACAGGGAGCGGAGCUGGCGAUCACUGCCCUGCGCCCGGCCGAGCCCGCAGCACCCUCUGCUGGCACCCGGAGCGCUGGGAGCCCGCACGGAGAGCGGCAGGAUACGGUGGAGCAGCGGGCGGGUAAUGUAGAUGGAUUCCGCGAUGGUUUCUUGGAGACCCAAAGGAGUGGGAAGCUGGUUCAUCUCCUCCGCUCUUCGGCUCUGCGAUUCCUCCCUCUGCUGGGGGGACCCCCAGUGCCGCGACUGCAGGGA
Non-coding RNA from Taeniopygia guttata (zebra finch), 1364 nucleotides. The record is from RefSeq and is a predicted model, not a curated record. Lineage: Eukaryota; Metazoa; Chordata; Aves; Passeriformes; Estrildidae.